CGCGUAGGCGGUUUGUUAAGUCGGAUGUGAAAGCCCCGGGCUCAACCCUGGGAACUGCACCCGAUACUGGCCGACUAGAGUACGAGAGAGGGAGGUAGAAUUCCACGUGUAGCGGUGAAAUGCGUAGAUAUGUGGAGGAAUACCGGUGGCGAAGGCGGCCUCCUGGCUCGAUACUGACGCUGAGGUGCGAAAGCGUAGGGGAGCAAACA
This 209-nucleotide ribosomal RNA is filed under the name uncultured bacterium. RNAcentral describes it as "partial 16S ribosomal RNA". It matches the Rfam family "Bacterial small subunit ribosomal RNA", at positions 568 to 774 of the family's 1533-position model. The record is from RNAcentral.